UAGGGAAUCUUCUGCAAUGGACGAAAGUCUGACCGAGCAACGCCGCGUGAGUGAAGAAGGUUUUCGGAUCGUAAAACUCUGUUGUUAGAGAAGAACAAGGACGUUAGUAACUGAACGUCCCCUGACGGUAUCUAACCAGAAAGCCACGGCUAACUACGUGCCAGCAGCCGCGGUAAUACGUAGGUGGCAAGCGUUGUCCGGAUUUAUUGGGCGUAAAGCGCGCGCAGGCGGUUUCUUAAGUCUGAUGUGAAAGCCCCCGGCUCAACCGGGGAGGGUCAUUGGAAACUGGGAGACUGGAGUGCAGAAGGGGAGAGUGUAAUUCCGUGUAUAGCGGUGAAAUGCGUAGAUAUAUGGAGGAACACCAGUGGCGAGGGCGGCUCUCUGGUCUGUAACUGACGCUGAGGCUCGAAAGCGUGGGGAGCAAACAAG
RNAcentral lists this ribosomal RNA (429 nucleotides) under Gemmatimonadota bacterium. RNAcentral's name for it is "Gemmatimonadetes bacterium partial 16S ribosomal RNA". It matches the Rfam family "Bacterial small subunit ribosomal RNA", at positions 355 to 776 of the family's 1533-position model. Lineage: Bacteria; Pseudomonadati; Gemmatimonadota. The record is from RNAcentral.